GGAUUAGAUACCCUGGUAGUCCAUGCCGUAAACGUUGGGCACUAGGUGUGGGGGACAUUCCAUGUUUUCCGCGCCGUAGCUAACGCAUUAAGUGCCCCGCCUGGGGAGUACGGCCGCAAGGCUAAAACUCAAAGGAAUUGACGGGGGCCCGCACAAGCGGCGGAGCAUGCGGAUUAAUUCGAUGCAACGCGAAGAACCUUACCAAGGCUUGACAUAUACCGGAUCGUUCCAGAGAUGGUUCUUCCCCUUUGGGGUCGGUAUACAGGUGGUGCAUGGUUGUCGUCAGCUCGUGCCG
Molecule: ribosomal RNA, 295 nt
Filed under: uncultured bacterium
Lineage: Bacteria
Description: partial 16S ribosomal RNA
Rfam family: Bacterial small subunit ribosomal RNA
Source: RNAcentral